CAAGUCGCACGAGAAAGCGGGAGCAAUCCUGCAAGUACAGUGGCGUACGGGUGAGUAACACGUGGGUAAUCUACCUUUUAGUGGGGAAUAACGCUGGGAAACCGGCGCUAAUACCGCAUAAUCUCGAGAGAGGAAAGCAGCAAUGCGCUGAAAGAGGAGCCCGCGGCCGAUUAGCUAGUUGGUAGGGUAAAAGCCUACCAAGGCAUAGAUCGGUAGCCGGCCUGAGAGGGCACACGGCCACACUGGCACUGAAACACGGGCCAGACUCCUACGGGAGGCAGCAGUGGGGAAUCUUGCACAAUGGGGGCAACCCUGAUGCAGCGACGCCGCGUGAGCGAUGAAGCCCUUCGGGGUGUAAAGCUCUUUCGGCAGGGACGAUAAUGACGGUACCUGCAGAAGCAGCUGCGGCUAACUACGUGCCAGCAGCCGCGGUAAUACGUAGGCAGCGAGCGUUGUUCGGAGUUACUGGGCGUAAAGGGUGUGUAGGCGGUUUUCUAAGUUUGGUGUGAAAUCUCCCGGCUUAACCGGGAGGGUGCGCCGAAAACUGGGAGACUAGAGUGCGGGAUGGGAGAGUAGAAUUCCUGGUGUAGCGGUGAAAUGCGUAGAUAUCAGGAGGAAUACCGGUGGUGUAGACGGCUCUCUGGACCGCAACUGACGCUGAGACACGAAAGCGUGGGUAGCAAACAGGAUUAGAUACCCUGGUAGUCCACGCCCUAAACGAUGCAUAUUUGGUGUAGGUCAUUCAGUUGAUCUGUGCCGGAGCUAACGCGUUAAAUAUGCCGCCUGGGGAGUACAGUCGCAAGGCUGAAACUCAAAGGAAUUGACGGGGGCCCGCACAAGCGGUGGAGCAUGUGGUUCAAUUCGACGCAACGCGAAGAACCUUACCUGGGCUCGAACGGCUGGUCAACGGCAUUGGAAA
RNAcentral lists this ribosomal RNA (919 nucleotides) under uncultured Bacillota bacterium. Its description in RNAcentral is "bacterial SSU rRNA". It matches the Rfam family "Bacterial small subunit ribosomal RNA", at positions 58 to 1007 of the family's 1533-position model. Lineage: Bacteria; Bacillati; Bacillota. The record is from RNAcentral.